AGCACUUACAGAUGGGAAAGAAGCAGCUGGAGCCUUAUGUUUCCUUUUUCCCCAGCCUCAACUCCUGAUAGCCAUACGAGGGACACCAAAGCUGCGGCAGCCCAACCGAUUCUCGUCUUCCCUGCGUAACUUCCUGAGGCACUGCCUGCGGACAGACGCGGCACGGCGCUGGUCUGCCAAGGAGCUCCUGCAGCAUCCAUUUGUAACAUCAGCCAAGCCAGCGUCCACCCUGGUACCACUCAUCAACUCAGUGAAGAAGGAGAAGAAGAAGAAGACAAGAAUCUAACAGUCAAGAUAUUUUUGCCAUAACCAAGUUAGAGUAGGAUUGUAGAGUAGGACUCUAGAGUAGGAUUAUUGAGUUGUUUUGUAGUAUAGGUUUAUAGAGUAGGAUUGGAAUUAAAUAAAGUUUCUGAAGCAUCAA
Vidua macroura (Pin-tailed whydah) is the source of this 421-nucleotide long non-coding RNA. RefSeq lists it as uncharacterized. The record is from RefSeq and is a predicted model, not a curated record. NCBI's taxonomy places the organism in Eukaryota, Metazoa, Chordata, Aves, Passeriformes, Viduidae. The transcript is spliced from 2 exons.